UCUAAUUAAAGACAAAACAAAAGAUUUAACAUUUUAAAACAUAUAAAUAACUACAUACUUAAACUAUUCCAGCUCUCAAAAAAAAACUAUAAAAAAAAAAGACGACAAGACCCUAUUGAACUUAACUUUAGUUCAACUGGGGCAGUUGAUUAAACAUAUCUUAAUUUUAAUAUUAAAAAAUAAGACCUAAUAAAAUUAACUAAAAAAUCAAGUUACCAUAGGGAUAACAGCGUAAUAAUUAUUUAAAGUCCUUAUAUAAAAAAUAAAUUGCGACCUCGAUGUUGAAUUAAUAAUCUAAUUUACGCAAUAGUAAAAAAAGAAAGUCUGUUCGACUUUUAAAAAAUUACAUGAUUUGAGUUCAGACCGGUGUAAGCCAGGUCGGUUUCCAUCUUUUCCAAAAAUUCUUCUAGUACGAAAGGACCUAAGAAAAUUAUAAAUUACUUUAUUGGCAGAAUAAUGCAUUAGAAUUAGAAUCUAAAUAAACUAAUAAUACUUCUAUCUGUAAACUUCAUUCUAAUCACUAUUAGA
Molecule: ribosomal RNA, 528 nt
Filed under: Phoneutria fera
Lineage: Eukaryota; Metazoa; Arthropoda; Arachnida; Araneae; Ctenidae
Description: partial 16S ribosomal RNA
Rfam family: Bacterial large subunit ribosomal RNA (bases 96-394)
Source: RNAcentral